RNAcentral lists this transfer RNA (87 nucleotides) under Rhodospirillum rubrum ATCC 11170. It matches the Rfam family "tRNA". Rfam says of the family: Transfer RNA (tRNA) molecules are approximately 80 nucleotides in length. The record is from Rfam by way of RNAcentral. Lineage: Bacteria; Pseudomonadati; Pseudomonadota; Alphaproteobacteria; Rhodospirillales; Rhodospirillaceae.
GGAGGGGUGCCAGAGUGGUCGAUCGGGGCGGUCUCGAAAACCGUUGUUCCUUCGCGGGAACCGUGGGUUCGAAUCCCACCCCCUCCG